GCCCAGAUAGCUCAGUCGGUAGAGCGCAAGGCUUUUAACCUUGUGGUCCUGGGUUCGAGCUCAAAUAUACA
Non-coding RNA from Tieghemostelium lacteum, 71 nucleotides. The record is from the annotation of a GenBank genome assembly. NCBI's taxonomy places the organism in Eukaryota, Evosea, Eumycetozoa, Dictyosteliales, Raperosteliaceae.